UCUCUGUAAAUUCACGUAGCCGUACGUGGCGUCACAUUACACUAAAAAUGGCGGACGGAAGUAAUUGUUGCGUUGAUUACAAAAUGCUAUUGUAUAUUAUCAAUGUCCACAUUUAAGUCUGUGAUGUGGUUUAUGGGUAGGAGAAGUUACCUGCGCUACGUUGAGUGGUUCUGAGCAAUGAGAAGACAACGUUUCAUCGAGUGUCCAUGAUGUAUCAACUUUAUCGUCAAUGCACAAAACAUAAACAUCUUCAAACUUCGAAAUUCCGAGCCGCACGUGAAUGCAAUGCGGAACAUGAGAGAAGUAAAGUGGAGGUGAGAAAAAGAAGAGUCAACAGCAGUCAAGAGAGAAGUUGCUGGUAGACAAUGAUAUCCUUUAACAGUCCCAAAAAGAGCACAUCUGAGCCACAUCCUAUUGCAAACAUACCCUUAUCAUCAGAGAUGGGGUUGAGAUUAUUUCCAACCAAAUCGCCUGUAAUAUAAUCCGUAAACCCUCAUCAUUCAAUGUCAGGGACGCCGGUUCUCCUGAACCUUCUCACCCUCUGACAUGGGAACAGUCUCUCUGAAUUGCUUUGUCAACUGUGCUGAUUAAGGGACAUCAUCAGGUCACCCUCCGCUGUCGGCGUCCUCUCCCCGCCAUGAUGGUGAUGAUAGUGCAUAAUGUGCACUGUCCCAGGUGCGCAAGUUGCAUGCAAAGACAAUGAUGGCGCUCGGGUCGACCCUAACAUCCCUUACAUCAUGCAUGCAACCUCCACAGAUUAGUGUCACCUCGCAACGUGUCUCCAAAAUAUCUGCAACCUGACACUCGGGGAUACCCUUGAAUGCAACCAAAGGCGGUGGCACACCAUCCCUUGUACCCCACCCCCACUCCACUUCAUUCCCCGGGCAGUCAGCUUCCUCACAUCAGUCAGCUUCUUCGUCUCGCGUCAGCUGGUGAGCGAGGACUGCAGGUGAUGCUGGCCUGGUGCUCAAUGAUCCUCUUAAACAUUAGUUAAACCCCAGAUGUGAUUACUUCUCUCAUAUUUGCUUGAAUCUAACUUAAUUUUUGAAUUACAAUGUAUUUGUUUGUUUAUUUUGUACUUUUAGCCCGCACAUUUUAACGCAAAUACCCAUUUGACUGUUGGACCUUAACCUGAGGGCUGUUGGUGUCACCUGAACAACUUCAGAGUUUCAAAAUGCAGUAGAUUACACACACCGGAUUCAAAUAUUGGAGCAAAAUUAGAAUAUAUUUGUCCAUUAUUGUUACCUUUUUUUUUUAGAAAAUGAUUCAAUUGUAUGAUGGUCCAAUACGCAUUAUGCAGGGAGACGUACGCUACUUUUAAGAAAAAUAAAUUUCCUAACCUGUCUUUUAUCAUUUGUACAACCAAUUUCAACCACUACUUUUCUAUCACCAGCCUAUUGUCUACUUCCUUUUUUUUUUAUUCAGCUUUUAUCAAAUGCUUUUCUUGAAAGCUUUCAUUAACUUAAGUAACAAGUGGGAUCGACCUUUACGCACAAUGAACGCACUGCAGCCUUUUGUUUAAUUCUCUAGUGGCACCCUGCAGUCUUUCAUUAUUGAAUAAAAGCUUGUAUCCCCUGUGGUUUGUCUAUGUCAACCUUUCCUGAUUCUAAACCCGGUGCCAACUUGUUAAUUGGGCCCCUCAACAAGUGAUGUCAGAUAGUGUUCAGUUCUACCGUGAGCUCCCAGUGAAGAGAAACUCAAUCAUCUCCUCCAAACUGCGCGUACAAGAGAAGCUUAGGAAGACACCGGAUCGAGAGCAGUGGUGCAUUUUUUUUUUAAACCAACAUCUCGGUGCAUGAUGUCAUGCGCCAUGUUGAUACCUCACUGACUAUACUGUUACUGCACGAUCAUUUAUUCAUUGCUAAUGUUCAUUACGAACCUCAGACCUGCUGGACAUUCAGACUGACCGAGGGGAGGAGCAGCCUCUUCUUGUUCUUUUGUUAAAUGUUUGUUUCUGGAAAUAAAACAUCG
Molecule: long non-coding RNA, 1971 nt
Organism: Notolabrus celidotus (New Zealand spotty)
Lineage: Eukaryota; Metazoa; Chordata; Actinopteri; Labriformes; Labridae
Exons: 5
Source: RefSeq, a predicted model, not a curated record